CCCUAUGGGGUGCAGCAGGCGGAAUGAUAAGUCAGUGGUGAAAUCUCCCGGCUCAACCGGGAAACUGCCAUUGAUACUGUCGUUCUUGAGUACAGUUGAAGUGGGCGGAAUGUGUCAUGUAGCGGUGAAAUGCUUAGAUAUGACACAGAACACCGAUAGUGAAGACAGCUCACUAAGCUGUAACUGACGCUCAUGCACGAAAGCGUGGGGAUCAAACA
This 218-nucleotide ribosomal RNA is filed under the name uncultured prokaryote. Its description in RNAcentral is "partial 16S ribosomal RNA". It matches the Rfam family "Bacterial small subunit ribosomal RNA", at positions 561 to 774 of the family's 1533-position model. The record is from RNAcentral.